Paramormyrops kingsleyae is the source of this 335-nucleotide long non-coding RNA. RefSeq lists it as uncharacterized. The record is from RefSeq and is a predicted model, not a curated record. Lineage: Eukaryota; Metazoa; Chordata; Actinopteri; Osteoglossiformes; Mormyridae.
CAAUUUCACUAUAAUUAGGCCCACGACAUGGCCACUACGGGGCGCGCCCAUCAAUCUCUCAUCAGCACCAGCAGCGGCGCAGGUCAUAUGUUGGCCACGGCGUAAGCAACCCUCAAAGGUCCGUCGGCUGUUUAAGCAGCCGGGCACAUGGGAUUAGCACCCCCUAGUGGUAGGGCAGAGCUGAGCGUCUGGCAUGCGGACAGGUGACAGCUGCCAGCAGGAGCCUGAAAGUACAGGUACCUCCAGACUCUCCACGUUUUUGCUCCCUCCCAGCUCCCACACAGACAGUCCAUAUUUUAUCAAAGACGUGGACUGUCGGGUCCCCGAGAACCGGG